RNAcentral lists this ribosomal RNA (253 nucleotides) under uncultured bacterium. Its description in RNAcentral is "partial 16S ribosomal RNA". It matches the Rfam family "Bacterial small subunit ribosomal RNA", at positions 524 to 776 of the family's 1533-position model. The record is from RNAcentral.
UACGUAGGGGGCAAGCGUUGUCCGGAUUUAUUGGGCGUAAAGAGCGUGUAGGCGGCCAUACAGGUCCGUUGUGAAAACUCGAGGCUUAACCUCGAGACGUCGAUGGAAACCGUAUGGCUAGAGUCCGGAAGAGGAGAGUGGAAUUCCUGGUGUAGCGGUGAAAUGCGCAGAUAUCAGGAGGAACACCGGUGGCGAAGGCGGCAUCCUGGACCGAGAUUGACGCUGAGGCGCGAAAGCCAGGGGAGCAAACGGG